This 426-nucleotide ribosomal RNA is filed under the name uncultured bacterium. Its description in RNAcentral is "bacterial SSU rRNA". It matches the Rfam family "Bacterial small subunit ribosomal RNA", at positions 354 to 796 of the family's 1533-position model. The record is from RNAcentral.
GCGAGGAAUAUUGCACAAUGGAGGAAACUCUGAUGCAGUAACGCCGCGUGGGGGAAGAAGACCUUCGGGUUGUAAACCUCUUUUUGUAAAGACGAGUGAGGACGGUAUUUAUAGAAUAAGUCUCGGCUAACUACGUGCCAGCAGCCGCGGUAAGACGUAGGAGGCGAGCGUUAUCCGGAUUCACUGGGCGUAAAGCGCAUGUAGGCGGAUGUCUAAGUCGUGUGUUAAAGCCCCUGGCUCAACUGGGGGAGGUCAUGCGAGACUGGAUGACUUGAGGGCAACAGAGGCACGUGGAACUCCCGGUGUAGCGGUGGAAUGCGUAGAGAUCGGGAAGAACACCCGUGGCGAAGGCGGCGUGCUGGGUUGCAACUGACGCUGAGAUGCGAAAGUGUGGGGAGCAAACGGGAUUAGAAACCCGAGUAGUCC